CAGCAGUGGGGAAUUUUGGACAAUGGGCGAAAGCCUGAUCCAGCAAUGCCGCGUGUGUGAAGAAGGCCUUCGGGUUGUAAAGCACUUUUGUCCGGAAAGAAAUCCUUGGCUCUAAUACAGUCGGGGGAUGACGGUACCGGAAGAAUAAGCACCGGCUAACUACGUGCCAGCAGCCGCGGUAAUACGUAGGGUGCGAGCGUUAAUCGGAAUUACUGGGCGUAAAGCGUGCGCAGGCGGUUUGCUAAGACCGAUGUGAAAUCCCCGGGCUCAACCUGGGAACUGCAUUGGUGACUGGCAGGCUAGAGUAUGGCAGAGGGGGGUAGAAUUCCACGUGUAGCAGUGAAAUGCGUAGAGAUGUGGAGGAAUACCGAUGGCGAAGGCAGCCCCCUGGGCCAAUACUGACGCUCAUGCACGAAAGCGUGGGGAGCAAACAGGAUUAGAUACCCUGGUAGUCCACGCCCUAAACGAUGUCAACUAGUUGUUGGGGAUUCAUUUCCUUAGUAACGUAGCUAACGCG
Molecule: ribosomal RNA, 517 nt
Filed under: uncultured Burkholderia sp.
Lineage: Bacteria; Pseudomonadati; Pseudomonadota; Betaproteobacteria; Burkholderiales; Burkholderiaceae
Description: bacterial SSU rRNA
Rfam family: Bacterial small subunit ribosomal RNA
Source: RNAcentral